CCUACGGGAGGCAGCAGUGGGGAAUAUUGCACAAUGGGCGGAAGCCUGAUGCAGCGACGCCGCGUGAGGGACGAAGGCCUUCGGGUUGUAAACCUCUUUCAGCAGGGACGAAGCGUGAGUGACGGUACCUGCAGAAGAAGCACCGGCUAACUACGUGCCAGCAGCCGCGGUAAUACGUAGGGUGCGAGCGUUGUCCGGAAUUACUGGGCGUAAAGAGUUCGUAGGCGGUUUGUCGCGUCGUUUGUGAAAACCCGGGGCUCAACUUCGGGCUUGCAGGCGAUACGGGCAGACUUGAGUGUUUCAGGGGAGACUGGAAUUCCUGGUGUAGCGGUGAAAUGCGCAGAUAUCAGGAGGAACACCGGUGGCGAAGGCGGGUCUCUGGGAAACAACUGACGCUGAGGAACGAAAGCGUGGGUAGCAAACAGGAUUAGAUACCCUGGUAGUCCACGCCGUAAACGGUGGGCGCUAGGUGUGGGUUCCUUCCACGGGAUCUGUGCCGUAGCUAACGCAUUAAGCGCCCCGCCUGGNGGUACGGCCGCGAGACGUAACUACAAGAGUAGUAGCGNGNGAGACGCGACGACGACGACGACGGAGGAGG
Molecule: ribosomal RNA, 598 nt
Filed under: uncultured bacterium
Lineage: Bacteria
Description: bacterial SSU rRNA
Rfam family: Bacterial small subunit ribosomal RNA (bases 1-524)
Source: RNAcentral